UCUUGCAAAUUGUACUAGACCAGA
Molecule: non-coding RNA, 24 nt
Filed under: Arabidopsis thaliana (thale cress)
Lineage: Eukaryota; Viridiplantae; Streptophyta; Magnoliopsida; Brassicales; Brassicaceae
Source: RNAcentral